This 377-nucleotide long non-coding RNA is filed under the name Nicotiana benthamiana. Its description in RNAcentral is "long non-coding RNA (NBEN_LNC028183)". Lineage: Eukaryota; Viridiplantae; Streptophyta; Magnoliopsida; Solanales; Solanaceae. The record is from RNAcentral.
CUUUAUAUCACAAUUUUCAUCAUUUGCCGAAAAAAGAAAGGGAGAUGAAGUUCGGAGCUCUGCGUAGCUGGUGAGGUAAAUCCAGUGACUCUUCUUAUCAAGAUUUCUGAUGUCAAAAUAGGCUAUUUCAGGAAAAAAUAGGGAAAAAUAUGAAGGGGUAAAAGGUUGGAUUUUUUAUUCUUAGAUAUAAAAUUCAGAGAAAAUAGGUGAGUUUUUGGAGAAAGUAAUGGUGGAUUUAGAUUGAGAGUAUGAUGAAGGUUGUGUGAUUAAAAUUUGAGGGGGUUCGGAGUUUAGCCACCGCCGCCAGCGAUUUUCAGUGGGCGACGGACGGUGGCGAACAACGACAUACACGGGCAGUGAUGGGUGAAAGAGAGAAG